This 253-nucleotide ribosomal RNA is filed under the name uncultured bacterium. RNAcentral's name for it is "partial 16S ribosomal RNA". It matches the Rfam family "Bacterial small subunit ribosomal RNA", at positions 524 to 776 of the family's 1533-position model. The record is from RNAcentral.
UACGUAGGGUGCGAGCGUUAAUCGGAAUUACUGGGCGUAAAGCGUGCGCAGGCGGUUUUGUAAGCCAGAUGUGAAAUCCCCGGGCUUAACCUGGGAAUGGCAUUUGGGACUGCAAGGCUCGAGUGCGGCAGAGGAGACUGGAAUUCCUGGUGUAGCAGUGAAAUGCGUAGAUAUCAGGAGGAACACCAGAGGCGAAGGCGGCCAUCUGGCGAGUCACUGACGCUGAGGCGCGAAAGCGUGGGGAGCAAACAGG